Molecule: long non-coding RNA, 1855 nt
Organism: Corticium candelabrum
Lineage: Eukaryota; Metazoa; Porifera; Homoscleromorpha; Homosclerophorida; Plakinidae
Exons: 3
Source: RefSeq, a predicted model, not a curated record
AACGUUAUUCUAGCUGCGCCGUGUGUUUGCCUGUACGGUCCUAUACUGAAUGUUGAAUGGCCAGUUGAUUGCGCGCCGAGUUAGGUUCCAGUCUUCUCGUUUCAUGUUCCGGUUUCUCGUUUCAAUGUCCGGUUCACCAUUCUACGUACCUAUGUUUCGGUUUCUCGUUAUGUUCGUUGUAAUUCUGUCUUCUAAAAUAAGUUCGUCUUGCAGUCUGUGGUCCAUGAGAGAGCCUGCUACAUUGUGUGAGUGCCUACGUGCAGAGAGACGUGUCAUUUUUCAAUUCCUAAUUGACACUCUGAAUGCAUGAGCACGCUGAGAAUUGAUAGUGUCCUAGCUCACCAGAAUACCAGCUCUAAAUAUAUCUAGCGCACUUUCAAUAGCAGGCUACGCCUCUGGCUAGCUAGAUCUGGAUCUCACGGACCUCAAACUGGAAGAAUUGGACGAAACACUGGACUCGUACUUCAACUAAAACACAGAUCAGGACCCAGGGCCAGAACGAGCUGUAGAAGACGGGAACCAAAAAUUGGAAGCCAGACCAGACCCCCUUUUCGAGAAAAGCACUAAACCGGGCAAAGGUCCACGAUACUAUCGAUUCCAAAUAUUUCACGUUGCUUUCUUGUCCUAGAUUCUUUCUAGCCGCCUACGGCUUGCGACAGCGCCAAUUUAGUCCUUUCGAGUGAAUGGCUCUGAUCGAGCGAACGGUCGUGUUUAUCGGUAGAACGGGUGCUGGAAAGUCGACGUGGUGUGCCAACGAGCCGUUGGUCCAGAAAGCGACCAAUCUGUGAGCGAAACAAAGUUCAUCGAAACUCGAACAGUCAACAUGGAGCAAAUAGCAAAUAUCGUGUCAAAUAGUAGAUACAGUUGGGAUCGGUGAUACAGACCUUGGAGAAGACGAAGUAGUCAAGCGUUUGGCUAGCGCUUGUGACGAAUGUCGCAAAGGUCGUGUUUUUCGUCACUGGAGGAAGGAUUACUCAAGAAGAAGCAGACGCGUGGGAUGUCAUUUGGAAGGUGCUCUUUAUUCAUCGACCACACCGCUAUUUACCGAUUGCACUCGUUUUCCAAAGUUUUAGAUCCCGACGUUGUAAAGAGCAAUUGUGAUAGGCUCAAAAGACAAAGAGGUAAAACAACUGACCAAGUCAAAGAGAUCAUUCACGUCGACAAUCCACCGCACCAAUAUCGCGGCUGCAUGGAUGGAAACGCGACAGAAAAAUCGCGCGACAUUUUGACAACUCAUUUGGCUCACAUGCAGCGAACCUGUUCACAAACCUCCAGAACUGGAUGAAGGGUCACGUAAACGAGCGCAUAUCAGAAACGCGUUGAGAGAAAGAAGGCUGAAGAGAUCAAAUUUCAAACGCUGCAAGAAACGUGAACGUUGCGCCAGACCCUUCAGCAAUUUAGAAGAAACUCUAGAGUACAGCACACCUGCAACUGCAAGUGACGCAAGAGAGACAGGAAGCCCAGCCCCUGAAUCUAGAUUGCGACUAACACGAGAACGAGAGAACGAGAGAUGAACGAAAUUCUUACAAAACGUGUAACAACACGAAGCGACUCAAACGAAGAAGACAUUGUAGGCACAAUCAUGGUAACCGUUGGACAUUAGAUUGCAAGACAAAUUCGUAACUGUUCUCUCGUGUGAUUUACUUUUUGCCAUAACUUUUAAGUUUGUCUGCAUGCUAAUGUAUUCUAAUUUUGGUGUUGUGUGAAGUAACGCUAUAUAGAGGUCUAUAGAGUUGCUGUGGGACAAUGUUUAAGUAAUGCCUUGCAUGGUGUUAUUGAUUCAUUGCGAUUCUUUCUUUGUAACAGAGAUAGUCAAGUAUAUAUAGGUUUGACUGUUCAAUAUUUAUUAACAUAG